CUUUUUUCAUUUUUUUUGAUAGGCCUUGGGCUCGCCUAGAUCAUGAAAAUCAGAAUCUAUGGUUUACCUUUAUUAGGAAACACUUGGAAGGCAAAAGGAGGUUUAUAGAACUGUAGCAUGGAUGAAAUAAGUAAUACAGUGAAUGCUGUCUAAGACUUCUGUAAAAAAAAAUAUAUUUCAGCCUUGACAAAAGACCCUGAAGCUGCCUAAGUGAACUUGAC
RNAcentral lists this long non-coding RNA (221 nucleotides) under Homo sapiens (human). RNAcentral's name for it is "non-protein coding lnc-PRR20C-7:2". The record is from RNAcentral. Lineage: Eukaryota; Metazoa; Chordata; Mammalia; Primates; Hominidae.